RNAcentral lists this ribosomal RNA (323 nucleotides) under Escherichia coli. RNAcentral's name for it is "partial 23S ribosomal RNA". It matches the Rfam family "Bacterial large subunit ribosomal RNA", at positions 1 to 351 of the family's 2925-position model. Lineage: Bacteria; Pseudomonadati; Pseudomonadota; Gammaproteobacteria; Enterobacterales; Enterobacteriaceae. The record is from RNAcentral.
GGGUUGUGAGGUUAAGCGACUAAGCGUACACGGUGGAUGCCCUGGCAGUCAGAGGCGAUGAAGGACGUGCUAAUCUGCGAUAAGCGUCGGUGAGGUGAUAUGAACCGUUAUAACCGGCGAUUUCCGAAUGGGGAAACCCAGUGUGUUUCGACACACUAUCAUUAACUGAAUCCAUAGGUUAAUGAGGCGAACCGGGGGAACUGAAACAUCUAAGUACCCCGAGGAAAAGAAAUCAACCGAGAUUCCCCCAGUAGCGGCGAGCGAACGGGGAGGAGCCCAGAGCCUGAAUCAGUGUGUGUGUUAGUGGAAGCGUCUGGAAAGGC